RNAcentral lists this ribosomal RNA (422 nucleotides) under uncultured bacterium. RNAcentral's name for it is "bacterial SSU rRNA". It matches the Rfam family "Bacterial small subunit ribosomal RNA", at positions 358 to 773 of the family's 1533-position model. The record is from RNAcentral.
GGAAUAUUGGACAAUGGGGGCAACCCUGCUCCAGCGAUGCCGCGGGGGUGAAGAAGGCCUUCGGGUUGUAAAGCCCUUUAGGUCGGGACGAAGGAUAGUGGAGGAAAUGCCAUUAUUUUGACGGUACCGACAGAAUCAGAACCGGCAAACUCUGUGCCAGCAGCAGCGGGAAUACAGAGGUUGCGAGCGUUAAUCGGAUUUACUGGGCGUAAAGGGCGCGUAGGCGGUGUGAUGUGUGUGAUGUGAAAGCCCCGGGCUUAACCUGGGAAGUGCAUCGCAAACUAUCGCACUAGAGUAGAUGAGAGGGUGGUGGAAUUUCCGGUGUAGCGGUGAAAUGCGUAGAGAUCGGAAGGAACGUCGAUGGCGAAGGCAGCCACCUGGCAUCAUACUGACGCUGAGGCGCGAAAGCGUGGGGAUCGAAC